This 460-nucleotide ribosomal RNA is filed under the name uncultured bacterium. Its description in RNAcentral is "partial 16S ribosomal RNA". It matches the Rfam family "Bacterial small subunit ribosomal RNA", at positions 338 to 795 of the family's 1533-position model. The record is from RNAcentral.
CCUACGGGAGGCAGCAGUGAGGAAUAUUGGUCAAUGGCCGUAAGGCUGAACCAGCCAAGUCGCGUGAGGGAAGACUGCCCUAUGGGUUGUAAACCUCUUUUAUGCGGGGAUAAAGGUGUCCACGUGUGGAUGUUUGCAGUUACCGCAUGAAUAAGGACCGGCUAAUUCCGUUCCAGCCGCCGCGGUAAUACGGAAGGUCCUGGCGUUAUCCGGAUUUAUUUGGUUUAAAGGGAGCGUAGGCCGGUCUUUAAGCGUUCCGUGAAAUUUUGUGGCUCAACCAUGAGAGUGCGGCGGGAACUGGAGACCGUGAGUGAGCGGAAGGCAGGCGGAAUUCGUGGUGUAGCGGUGAAAUGCUUAGAUAUCACGAAGAACCCCGAUUGCGAAGGCAGCCUGCCGCAGCGUUACUGACGCUGAAGCUCGAAAGCGCGGGUAUCGAACAGGAUUAGAUACCCCUGUAGUC